CCGCUAUCGGGGUGGCGCUAAGCCAUGGGAGUCGCACAUCCCACCGCUGUGGGGUGUGGCGAACGGCUGAGUAACGCGUGGCUAACCUACCCUCGGGACGGGAACAACUCCGGGAAACUGGAGCUGAUUCCCGAUAGGUGGGGAGUCCUGGAACGGUUCUCCACCGAAAGGGACUAGAAGGGGCUAUCGCUUCUAGUCCGCCCGAGGAUGGGGCUGCGUCCCAUCAGGUAGUUGGCGGGGUAAUGGCCCGCCAAGCCUAUAACGGGUAGGGGCCGUGAGAGCGGGAGCCCCCAGAUGGGCACUGAGACAAGGGCCCAGGCCCUACGGGGCGCACCAGGCGGGAAACCUCCGCAAUGCGGUAACCCGUGACGGGGUCACCCCGAGUGCUCCCCUUAUGGGGAGCUUUUCCCUGCUGCAGGAAGGCAGGGGUAAUAAGUGGGGGGCAAGGCUGGUGUCAGCCGCCGCGGUAAUACCAGC
This 477-nucleotide ribosomal RNA is filed under the name uncultured crenarchaeote. RNAcentral describes it as "bacterial SSU rRNA". It matches the Rfam family "Archaeal small subunit ribosomal RNA", at positions 27 to 480 of the family's 1478-position model. The record is from RNAcentral. Lineage: Archaea; Thermoproteati; Thermoproteota.